GGAGUUUCCAGAUGAUCUGUCAGAGGAAGAAACUGUGUGUCCUCUGGCAGAAAACCCAAGCCAAGACAUGGUCUUGAUUAUUGGGAGCAUGUGCUGGACCUACAACAUGGGUGAGCUACUGGGAGAAGGAGGAUUUGGUGCCGUAUAUGCUGGUGUCCGUGCCCAUGAUGGUCUUCCGGUGGCAAUCAAGUUUGCCAAAAAAAUGGAGGGCAUGGAAUAUCUCUACGUU
Non-coding RNA from Danio rerio (zebrafish), 229 nucleotides. The record is from RefSeq and is a predicted model, not a curated record. NCBI's taxonomy places the organism in Eukaryota, Metazoa, Chordata, Actinopteri, Cypriniformes, Danionidae.